RNAcentral lists this ribosomal RNA (468 nucleotides) under uncultured bacterium. RNAcentral describes it as "partial 16S ribosomal RNA". It matches the Rfam family "Bacterial small subunit ribosomal RNA", at positions 28 to 507 of the family's 1533-position model. The record is from RNAcentral.
GACGAACGCUGGCGGCGUGCUUAACACAUGCAAGUCGAACGGAAAGGCCCUGCUUUUGUGGGGUGCUCGAGUGGCGAACGGGUGAGUAACACGUGAGUAACCUGCCCUUGACUUUGGGAUAACUUCUGGAAACUGGGGCUCAUACCGGAUAGGAGCUCCUGCUGCAUGGUGGGGGUUGGAAAGUUUCGGCGGUUGGGGAUGGACUCGCGGCUUAUCAGCUUGUUGGUGGGGUAGUGGCUUACCAAGGCUUUGACGGGUAGCCGGCCUGAGAGGGUGACCGGCCACAUUGGGACUGAGAUACGGCCCAGACUCCUACGGGAGGCAGCAGUGGGGAAUAUUGCACAAUGGGCGGAAGCCUGAUGCAGCAACGCCGCGUGCGGGAUGACGGCCUUCGGGUUGUAAACCGCUUUCGCCUGUGACGAAGCGUGAGUGACGGUAAUGGGUAAAGAAGCACCGGCUAACUACGUG